Molecule: long non-coding RNA, 4059 nt
Organism: Marmota monax (woodchuck)
Lineage: Eukaryota; Metazoa; Chordata; Mammalia; Rodentia; Sciuridae
Exons: 2
Source: RefSeq, a predicted model, not a curated record
GUCCACUCCUCUGCAGGUCCUGGGGCAGCAGAGUCCACUCCUCUGCAGGUCCCGGGGCAGCAGAGUCCACUCCUCCGCUGGUCCUGAGGCAGCAGAGUCCACUCCUCCGCAGGUCAUGAGGCAGCAGAGUCCAUUCCUCCAGAGGUCCUGAGGCAGCAGAGUCCACUCCUCCGCAGGUCCUGGGGCAGCAGAGUCCACUCCUCCGCAGGUCCUUAGGCAGCAGAGUCCACUCCUCCGCAGGUCAUCAGGCAGCAUAGUCCACUCCUCCAGAGGUCCUGAGGCAGCAGAGUCCACUCCCCCGCAGGUCCUGGGGCAGCAGAGUCCACUCCUCCGCAAGUCACACUUGGUCUUCCUGGGAUCCUGGCCUCCUCUCUCUUCCCGCUGGAAUGACACCAUGUUUGUCUCUGCCAGCAUCAGGUCAGGAGGUACAGGUCUGUGUGGAAGGGAGCAGCUUCCUCCUUGGGGGGCUCCUGCUGCCCUAUGGACCUCUCCCUAGCUACAGGCUCCGCUCCUGGCAUGACCUGUGUCCACCAGAGGCCCUGCCAGCCACAGCAGGCGGGGACAAAGGUGCUGGCCCAGUGGUUGGCCAUGUCCAGCUGUCCUGCUGGCAGAGCUGUGGCAGUCCACAGAGUGGACUAGGCAAUCCUCUCUCCCUUCUCUCUGACACACCUGCAGGGAAAGACGGGAACCCUGUACCACACCAGGGCCAGCCUAGAGGCCUUCUGGAGUGCUGUCUGGGAUCUUGGCCCCUGGGCUUGUCAGCCAUUGCCGCUGCCUGGAUGUGAUAAAGAAAGGAUCCUGCGGAAGGCUGGGGUUGUCCCCUCCUCCACAGGGUCCAUCUUCCAGGGCUGCCUCUCAGGGCCUGGCACCUGGUGAUGGACCCCGGAAGGGGUGGCUCCAGCUCUCCCCCUCUUCCUCCUCCCCUCCUUCAAGUCAACAGGGCCUGCAGCGAUGAACAGCUGGGCCAAGAGGCAAAACUUGGUGCUGUUGUGGAGCCUGGCUCCAGGGCCCCAGAUGGAGGCGUCCACGUGUGGUGUGGUGCCAGAAGAGACCUGGAGGAGUUGACCUUCCAUAGGACAUGCAGAUAGCCUCCCCAUAGGGCCUGGCCUUCAGCACUGCCCACUACCCAUGUGCCCAGCGACCCAGCUCCACUAACAUCAUGAUGCAGUGGCUGCUGGGCAUGAGCCCGGUCCUCCCUCCAGGCUCAGAAGAGCUGCAACGCAGACCACUGAGAACAAAAGACCAAGACCCCUAGGAGGUCCAGGCAGCAGAUGUUCUGUGCAGCUGGGCAGCUGGGGCAGCUGGGGCAGCUGGGGGUGAGGGAGAUGCAGACCGCCAGCACUCAGACUGCAGGGGCAUGUUGCACAUCUGAGGUGGAGUCGGUCCCAUUCAGGGCGAAACCCGGGAGAGCCUGGGCACUGAGGCUCUGAGGAAAGAGGACACGAUGUGGGAGGCAGCAAAUGGGCCACCCACAGGGGAGACGGCACAGAAAUUACUGAAAACAGGCCCACGCAUCCCACCCGAGAUCCUUUAGAGGUAAGGCCUUGCACACUCACACAUCGAGAUGAGAGAGUGAAAUAAAUCAGGUGUGCCUCCUCCUCACCUGCAGGCCCUCUGGAUGAAGAGGUGGUGCACACUCACACAUUGAGAUGAGAGAGCUGUAAUCAGGUGUGCCUCUUCCUCACCUGCAGGCCCUCUGGAUGAAGAGGUGGUGCACACUCACACAUCAAGAUGAGAGAGCUGUAUCAGGUGUACCUCCCCUCACCUGCAGGCCCUCUGGAUGAAGAGGUGGUGCACACUCACACAUCGAGAUGAGAGAGCUGUAAUCAGGUGUGCCUCCUCCUCACCUGAGGCCCUCUGGAUGAAGAGGUGGUGCACACUCACACAUCGAGAUGAGAGAGCUGUAAUCAGGUGUGCCUCCUCCUCACCUGAGGCCCUCUGGAUGAAGAGGUGGUGCACACUCACACAUCGAGAUGAGAGAGCUGUAAUCAGGUGUGCCUCCUCCUCACCUGAGGCCCUCUGGAUGAAGAGGUGGUGCACACUCACACAUCAAGACGAGAGAGCUAUAUCAGGUGUACCUCCUCCUCACCUGCAGGCCCUCUGGAUGAGGAGGCCAUGCACACUUACACAUUGAGAGCAGAGAGCUGUAAUCAGGUGUACCUCCCCUCACCUGCAGGCCCUCUGGAUGAGGAGGCCAUGCACACUUACACAUUGAGAGCAGAGAGCUGUAUCAGGUGUGCCUCCUCCUCACCUGAGGCCCUCUGGAUGAAGAGGUGGUGCACACUCACACAUCAAGACGAGAGAGCUGUAUCAGGUGUACCUCCUCCUCACCUGCAGGCCCUCUGGAUGAGGAGGCCAUGCACACUUACACAUUGAGAGCAGAGAGCUGUAAUCAGGUGUGCCUCCUCCUCACCUGCAGGCCCUCUGGAUGAAGAGGUGGUGCACACUCACACAUCGAGAUGAGAGAGCUGUAAUCAGGUGUGCCUCCUCCUCACCUGCAGGCCCUCUGGAUGAAGAGGUGGUGCACACUCACACAUCGAGAUGAGAGAGCUGUAAUCAGGUGUGCCUCCUCCUCACCUGCAGGCCCUCUGGAUGAAGAGGUGGUGCACACUCACACAUCAAGACGAGAGAGCUAUAUCAGGUGUACCUCCUCCUCACCUGCAGGCCCUCUGGAUGAGGAGGCCAUGCACACUUACACAUUGAGAGCAGAGAGCUGUAAUCAGGUGUACCUCCCCUCACCUGCAGGCCCUCUGGAUGAGGAGGCCAUGCACACUUACACAUUGAGAGCAGAGAGCUGUAUCAGGUGUGCCUCCUCCUCACCUGAGGCCCUCUGGAUGAAGAGGUGGUGCACACUCACACAUCGAGAUGAGAGAGCUGUAAUCAGGUGUGCCUCCUCCUCACCUGAGGCCCUCUGGAUGAAGAGGUGGUGCACACUCACACAUCAAGACGAGAGAGCUGUAUCAGGUGUACCUCCUCCUCACCUGCAGGCCCUCUGGAUGAGGAGGUGGUGCACACUCACACAUCGAGAUGAGAGAGCUGUAAUCAGGUGUGCCUCCUCCUCACCUGAGGCCCUCUGGAUGAAGAGGUGGUGCACACUCACACAUCAAGACGAGAGAGCUAUAUCAGGUGUACCUCCUCCUCACCUGCAGGCCCUCUGGAUGAGGAGGCCAUGCACACUUACACAUUGAGAGCAGAGAGCUGUAAUCAGGUGUACCUCCCCUCACCUGCAGGCCCUCUGGAUGAGGAGGCCAUGCACACUUACACAUUGAGAGCAGAGAGCUGUAUCAGGUGUGCCUCCUCCUCACCUGAGGCCCUCUGGAUGAAGAGGUGGUGCACACUCACACAUCAAGACGAGAGAGCUGUAUCAGGUGUACCUCCUCCUCACCUGCAGGCCCUCUGGAUGAGGAGGCCAUGCACACUUACACAUUGAGAGCAGAGAGCUGUAAUCAGGUGUACCUUCCCUCACCUGCAGGCCCUCUGGAUGAGGAGGCCAUGCACACUUACACAUUGAGAGCAGAGAGCUGUAUCAGGUGUGCCUCCUCCUCACCUGAGGCCCUCUGGAUGAAGAGGUGGUGCACACUCACACAUCGAGAUGAGAGAGCUGUAAUCAGGUGUGCCUCCUCCUCACCUGAGGCCCUCUGGAUGAAGAGGUGGUGCACACUCACACAUCAAGACGAGAGAGCUAUAUCAGGUGUACCUCCUCCUCACCUGCAGGCCCUCUGGAUGAGGAGGCCAUGCACACUUACACAUUGAGAGCAGAGAGCUGUAUCAGGUGUGCCUCCUCCUCACCACAUUUGGGUAAGGAAUUCUGCUGCUGACUGGUUGAUGGCAUCCCUUCAUCAUUUCUCCUUUCUUUGAGUUUUUAAACCCUGGUCAGUGCACACCUCAUUCUCCACUGUCUGAUCUAAUGUCUUCACGUGGCAAUCUGUCAUUCUCAACAUUGUACCCCCUGCCUUUGAAAGUAUAUCUCACCGUUAUUCGAACAGUCAUGUAUUCAUAGGAUGCCAUGUUGUACUUCCUCGUUUUGAGGCUGAGUAAAUCAAGUAAUGGAGACUUUAA